AGCAGUAGCAGCAGCAUCAGCAGCAGGAGCAGCGACAGCAAUCGAGGCGCUGAUGGAUGAAAACACCAAAAGCACCUAAAACGACGCGAUGACCGCUCUCUAGGAAGGAGUAAAGAGGUGUCAAAUAACCUCAAAUAACCUACAACGAAAGUUCGGUUGACGAUACGGUAAAUCACAAAAAAGAUAAUCGCUCUCAGGUUUCUCUCUGAUUUCUACACAGAAAAAAAGGUAAUUCAACGAGAAACAUGACAUUUCCAUGUUAAAAGAAAACCGAUAAAAUAUUAAGAGUUUAUCUACUUAUGCUGAGAUUGCCGUGAUACAAAGAUGCUGACUAUUGCAAUAAAAUGUGACUUGCUGUUCAAAACAUUGGGUAAAACAUAAUCCAACAAGGAAUUUGAAGCAUUAUGUUUCAAGUUUGGUUUAGAGCUGGAUGAAGUAACAAUGGAAAAGCAAAUGAUAGCAAAAGAGUAGGGUUUUGAUCAAGAUACAGAUGCGUCCGAAGAAAUUAUCAACAAGAUUAAUAUACUUGCCAACAGAUAUGAUCUAUUAUGCUUGGAAACUCUAAAUAUUGGACUACUUAUAUUUUUGCAUAAGUAAAUAUUAUGUAAUUUAUAGUUUAGAUUUAAAAAAUCAUUUCUUAAAUUUAUUCAAAGAUAAUAUUUCUAACAAAAUUACG
Monomorium pharaonis (pharaoh ant) is the source of this 676-nucleotide long non-coding RNA. RefSeq lists it as uncharacterized. Lineage: Eukaryota; Metazoa; Arthropoda; Insecta; Hymenoptera; Formicidae. The record is from RefSeq and is a predicted model, not a curated record. The transcript is spliced from 5 exons.